This 250-nucleotide long non-coding RNA is filed under the name Ananas comosus (pineapple). Its description in RNAcentral is "long non-coding RNA (ACOM_LNC032746)". The record is from RNAcentral. Lineage: Eukaryota; Viridiplantae; Streptophyta; Magnoliopsida; Poales; Bromeliaceae.
AUAGCUAGUGGCCACCAGGACUUAUGCAUUUUGUAGUCAUCCCUUUUGUAUACAUGUAUCAGCUUCUUUUGUUCAUUUAGAGAUGUAAAGUUGUAAACAAUCAUGUACUUUUGGUGGAUGGUUAAAAUGUAAAGAAUUGUGAAUGAAUGGAAAAAGAAUGUAAUAGUUGUAGUUUACUUUUAUUUGGUUCAAAUGAAAUCAAGUAUUAUGUAUGUAUUAGCUUAGAGCUUUCGCUUCCAUUGUUGCUUGC